UACGGGGGGGGCAAGCGUUGUUCGGAAUUAUUGGGCGUAAAGGGCUCGUAGGCGGCCAACUAAGUCAUACGUGAAAUCCCUCAGCUUAACUGGGGAACUGCGUGUGAUACUGGAUAGCUUGGAUUUGGGAGAGGGAUGCGGAAUUCCAGGUGUAGCGGUGAAAUGCGUAGAUAUCUGGAGGAACACCGGUGGCGAAGGCGGCAUCCUGGACCAAUAUUGACGCUGAGGAGCGAAAGCCAGGGGAGCAAACGGG
Molecule: ribosomal RNA, 253 nt
Filed under: uncultured bacterium
Lineage: Bacteria
Description: partial 16S ribosomal RNA
Rfam family: Bacterial small subunit ribosomal RNA
Source: RNAcentral